Molecule: regulatory RNA element, 84 nt
Organism: Enterococcus rivorum
Lineage: Bacteria; Bacillati; Bacillota; Bacilli; Lactobacillales; Enterococcaceae
Source: Rfam
CCACAGCUACAACCGCACAGAACAAGUUAUGUUAAGUACCAUUCGUUUGAAGGGUCACUUGGGAUGGCGAGUCUAAGUUUAAAA